CUUGUCCUGCCAUGCAGCAGGUAUGUAGGAGCAUACAUAACUAUUUUAUCCUAUGUAUUCAUUAGUUUCUUCUGUUUGUCCGCCUCUUCUAUUUUGUUUAAAUUAAACAGUACAUCAGUUUUAACUGUGUCCAGAUGUUGUGUCUGAUCUGCAGGUGCAAUGGACCUUGGACCUAUUCUUCGCUGUGUAAAGAUGAAAAAAGCUUGCUCAGUUAAUGGGUGCUUGCGGCAAUGUGCCUCUCAUGGUUGGAAUACCCACUGAUGCAUUUGCACGGAUGUCGCCCAUUGUUGUCACUAUGCGGAGGCAAUGGCACCAAAUUGAUAGUAGUAGUAUGAUAUAUUGUUGUUAGCCAUGUCCUCUUGCUUUGCAAGGGUGAAUAUUAAUCAUGUAUGUCACCGUUGAUAUAAUAGAUGAGGGAGAUUUAAUAGAUUCAAAGGUGUAUA
Molecule: long non-coding RNA, 443 nt
Filed under: Triticum aestivum (bread wheat)
Lineage: Eukaryota; Viridiplantae; Streptophyta; Magnoliopsida; Poales; Poaceae
Description: long non-coding RNA (TAES_LNC012754)
Source: RNAcentral